GGGUGAGUGUGUGCCUCUGUCGGCCCUGCCCAUGUGGGUGGACUCUUAAAGGCAACAUCCUAUGCCUGAAAGGAAGCUACUGCUGUAGUCUGGGAAGAAGCGAGAGGGCCUGAAAGAGCCAGAGUUGAAGAGGAAAAGACAGAGAGGACUAAGGUCGACGUGACUUGCCUAAGGUCACAGAGGUGGUGAGUGGUGGAGUUGGAAUCCACAUGAAUCUUCUAUAGGAACCCCGGCCCAACUACAGACAUGCCCAGAUGAGCACACCAGUGCCUGGAGAGGAAAAAUCUGGAGAGGCCUUCCACAUGGCGAAGAGAAAGGGAAAAGAGUUUUGAUUUCUGUGCCUAUUAACCACUCUGACAGAAGGUUUUGUGAAGAAUGACGUUGAAGCUCUUGGUAGAAGUUAGAAAAAACAGUCUAGUUACAAGAACAGCAGAAAAAGACCUGAACUUCAGAGUGGACCACAAACCAAUAGGAAUUAAGAACACAGCUCUCUUUUCAAAAGCCAAUGCAAAAUGAGGAUGUGUUUAUGCAAGAGCAGCUGUUGUUACCCUGGGCUUAUGCUCGACAUUCUUUCAUAUGUCACGGUCAGACCUAGGAAAUUCCCUGGGAAGUCCCCUCCCUCCCAGUGCCUGCAGUUUCUCCCUUGGAGUAUAAUGCUGUUGGAUCUUGAGAGAUCUUUUGAUCUUCAGGAAGCUGUUAUCACAAAAUGGAUCUUCCUGGAGUGAGGAGACAGCGUGGUACACCGGGAGACGAAGGCAGUGGACUGCGGAAUGGGAAUCUGGGUCCCAAUGUCAGUUCUCCCACCACCUGCCUGUGGCUUUAGGAAAGGCCUGUUCCUUCCCUUGCCUCCAUGGCUUCAUCUGUCCAAUGGAGUGACAUGGAGAUGAUGAAAGUAUGGUUCCUAGUUUCCAAAGAUCUUUUCCUAAUGACUUUUGCGGCAUCCCCCAAACAAGGCCAUGAGGACGAUAGAGAAGAUGCAGACAUCUCCAUGUUACAAAGGAGAAAGUGCGACUCAGAGAAGUCAAGUGACUCAGCCAAAGUCACACAGCUGAAUUCGAGCAGAGCAAGGGCCCCAGGUGGCUCAUGCUAGAGGUGAAGACCUUCGUAUUCUCCUAGUUUCUCUUAUAAUAAUGUCACCUCCUGGAGCGAGCAAGUCCUGGCUGAGACACAACGGCAUCUAGAAACAGUCCUGACUAUUUGAGAACUUCUUCCUCUGUGGUGAAAAACUGAACCGGCCUGCCCCAUUUUCCCAACCACCUCACGACUCGAAGAGCAAUUGCUUUAGCUCUGACAAAAUUAGGCCACCUCCGACCUAAAUGGAGCCCAUUUUCAGAGUAAGACCCUGCGUGGAGACAGCUCUUUCCUGGAAGGAUAACAAAAGCAUGCUUUUGUGUGUAUUUCACUUGAUGGAAAGGAAUCCCCAGCGAGGCCAUUUUUUCCCCCUGAUUUCUCCCAAGUCCAGAAUGUAUCCAAGUUUCCAAGAUAAUCUCAGAAGAGCCAUUCGUCUACGAAGAUGGCCAAAUUGUCUUCCAGCUCAGUAGACAGGGUGUGUUUGAGAGACAAGGUGAGGGGGUGAGAAUAGGGGUGUGGGAAGAGGGUGAGGGAGCUUGAUAGCAAAGGAGAAAAUGUGUCGCCGACAAAUGCUGACGGAAGACGAAAGAAACCAAAGGGCCAGCCCCGACUCUGGGGUCCCCUCUGCCAGGGACAUUUUCAGCUCAUUCUUUUCAGGACCUGUCACAGUCUGCCUGGCGAGCCGUCACUUCUCAUCACUGGGCUCUCACUGAGGAUCUUUGUGUCAUCACUGUCAUGAAGAGACCUGGCAACUGGCAAAGAAUUUCCUGGGGCGCUACCCGAUACACCAUUAUUCGCCUCUUAUCAUCUUAGCAGAGUAGUUACGCCGCUGUCAGAGGAGUGAGAAUGAAGUCUGAGCAGGGACUGACGCGGCUGUACGAGAUCUCCAAGCAGAUGAGGUGGACUCCCUGGCCGGCGAGAAAUGAACAGCGCGGCCCGUGGAAGAGCGUGGGCUGCUGUUGGGCUGGGGUGUUGCCUUUAUCACACCGGAGAUUUAGGCCUGCACUGAGCAAGGGGUGAGGCUGACACCAGGAGACAAGUUCUCAGAGACUGGUCUCUCACGGAAAAGCUCUGAGAGUCUCCUUGAUGUGGGUUUGUGUGUGUGCAUGCAUGUGUGUGUGUAUUACCAUUUUGGUGAUUUUAAGCAUCCUUUUGUGGGAUUCAAACAUUCUGAGAGUGAAAAAUGAUCAUUUUAAGCCAGAUUGGGUAAGGUAGGGUCAUAAAUCAGGAAGGAAGACCAGAUUCUGUCUUUGUGUGUGUACGUACGUGUAUAUGUGUGAGUACACGCACAUGUGUGUGCAUGUACGUGUGUGCAUGUGUGUAUGUGUAUACAUGCACAUUGCGUGUGUGUACCUGUGUGUGUGCGCACAGAGAAGGCGCCAGCAAGCGAGCCUCCUGGGGUGAGUGGGAGGAGCAGAUGUGGGUCUGAGCAAGGGAGCUGGUUUUGAUGAAAUAUUGGCUAACGCUCGGGGCACCGAAGGAGAAGAGGCUCUGGUCAGGGAACUGUGCUGCAUUAGAAUUUAUAAUAGAUUAGCUUAUCUGCCCCUUGAUCUUCAAGGGUAUUUGGGGAGCUGAGGAUGAGCCAUUUCUGCCUUGAUUUUCGCAGUGAGAGGAAACGUCUGAAACAGUAUUCCCAGCCUUUCCCUCUGCACAGCCCAAGGCGGUGAGAGCUUGGUAUUCACACCCCCACUCAGGUCAUUCGGAGGAGGCUGACAGUGCCCAGGAAUGCUGACAUGCUUCAAAACAUCACACAAGAAAGAACCCACUCAGAUUCCUAAGGGGAGUUGCUGUCGGUCCAUCCUGAGCCGGAGUGCAACAUUGGAUGUGAUUGCCAUGGCUCCCCCUCCCGCUGCAGGAGCUCGAAAUCCAUAUUCAUCCACGAUGUCUGCAGGACUCCCCUCUCGCUGUCCAUCUGUCUGUCUGUCUGACUCUCUCUUCCUCGCUCUCUGAGGUAAAGGGUGCUCGCUAUCCUGAAAAGGGGAGCGUGCCAGAAUGUUCCAGAUGAGCUGCUGGCAGCAAUGUUGCUUUAAACACCAAGGAGCUGAAGCGGCCGGGAAAGAAAGAGUGAGGGGUGAAGUGUGGUUUGAUGUCUCGGCGCACUGGGACAUCAUGAUUCAUAUAACAUGAGCUCCUCGGAGUCCUUGAUUAAAUCCUAGCCUAGCACCCCCGGCUGAACUGGAACUCUGAAGUCCAGCCAAGGAGCGUUACUGGUCCUGCCUCAGCAAACAGUUGGUGGGUCACAGGCAAAGAACAGUGGAGGGGUGCUUUUUUCACUGGAAAAAUUACCUGCUGGGAAAGGAGGAAUCAUAUGAUGUGUGUGGGGGGGAAAACCAGCCAGGAAGGACCUGGCUCUCACAUUACAAGGCUGCUUUCUGAAGUCAGAGGGACUUUUUAUUCCCCCCAGAGGCCUGCGGGCCCCAGCCAAAGUGGCUGUGCGUGGCUCUGAAGGGUGUGGUGUUAGGGGCGCUGCACGCUGGGGCUCUGGAUGCCAGGCUGGGAACGGGGAGAGAGGAGAGCUGGGGACGAGGCUUCACUGUCCUCAGACUCACUCUCUUAAGGCGGGAGGGAGGUGAAGAGGAGAGAGAGGCUGCCCUGUUUCCCCUCUAGCCAGGGGACGGGGCCCUCUAUUGCCUCCACUUAGGACUUUCUAUGCAUGGAGUUCCCUCUCUCCCUUUCUAUGACAUUUCACAUGUCUGGCCACUAUUUCCAUCUCCCGACUCCUUAAAACUUUCCCGUCUCUCACUGUACCCUCUCUCUGCUUCUCCGACAGCCUUCACUCCCUCUUUGCAUGGAAGUUGCAUAAUGAUCUCUCACUUCACGACGCCCCCUUUCCCAAUGCUUAGUUCAUGUCGGUUUGAGCGGGGAGACUUUGGGGCAUGUGACUCAGGACUGGCCAGCAUGUUUGGUUUAAGGAUGGGGCUGUGGAGCCAAGAGGGUCCAAUCAGAGCCAAACCUGGAACUUCUGUUGGAAACUUUUGUUGGAACUUUUGGGAUAGAGAAGUUCUCUUUCAUCUGGGGUUGAUGGGAUGAGAGGAUGAAAGCCUGGAGCUUCCAGGGGCCACGGUGAUGAGAACAUCUGUCUGAAAAUGAUGCCACUGGAAAAGGAAGAACAAAGAGAUGGAUAGAGAUGGAUUUCUGAAGGCAUGAUUUGAGCACCAGGAUCUAAUCAUACCUGAGGUCAGGAUCUAAUCCUGGACUCCUCAGUUAUACUAACUAAGAAAUUUCUCCCUUUUCUUCUUUAUCCAGUUGGAUUUUUUCCUGUUACUUGUAAUUGAAAGUAUUGUAUUUAUAUGUUGGGUCGAUACCCGCUUCUGUCUUUUCUGCAUGGAGUUCCCUCUCUCCCUUUCUGUGAGUCCUCAACUUUCUGUGUCUUCUUUGUUCCCCUUACUCACUCAGGCUUUCCAUCCACUCUUGUGGUGUCAACUAUGACCCCUGUGAGAUUCUCGUGCCCCACUCCCACAUUUGGGCAUCUAGCUUAGAUCUUGUUCUCGUGUCCAGCCAUCUAUAAGACAGUUCUGCAUGUGCCUCAUGCACGUGGACAUGCACAGCUGCCUGAAGUUAAUGUGACUCCUGAUCCUUGGGAAGGAGAGGGCCCCCCUUUUCAACCACCUCCUCUUCAACCCUGGCAUCUGAUCCCCCUGGUUCAAAGCCAGAAUUAUCUUUGAUUCCUUCUUCUCUUCCUUCCUGUCCCCCUAUAUUGAAUCAUCCAUCAAGUCUUCCAAAAUUUCUCUUGUGGAUGUCAUUUUUUUCUCUAUCUACCACCAUCCUCUGGUCUAAAAUCUCAUCAUGAUCAUCUCAAAACCCUCUUACCUGCCUUUCAAAUACUCAUUUCAAACUGUCCCACCCAUCCAGCACACUCCUGCUUGUUUAACUUCCUCAAAUACCUUUCACCUCACAGCUUGCCUGAAGAAACCAGAUUUCUCACUGUUGCGCAUCUCCGGGUCCCUCAGAUGCUGGCAUUCAUGAAGCAUGAGAAGCCACAGGAGCACCCUUCUGGAAUACUAAUUUGACUGCAAGGUUUCUUGGGAUGUGGGAAGUUAAGUGCUUUAACUAGAAAGAAAUUAAAAACAUUUUUAUAUUAAAACAGAUCAAUCUUAUGUAAAGUAGAAUGCAAUACUCACGUGAAUUUUAAAGAUUAAACAUAGAUUUCAAAGACGUUCUGAGACUGUAAAAGUCUACUUUCAGCCACCACCCAAGAGUUCUGGGAUUCUUUUCCCUCUGCCGUUGGGUAGAAAGUUUGAAAAAGCAUCAACAUGUUGAGUCAUUUCUAACCUCCUCGAUCUGGUGUUUCUCUCACCUGGCCCUAUCUUUCGUACCCUCCUCCUUUUCUCUCACUAUUUCCUUGAGGUAGAGGGCUCUUCUGGUUGUUCUUUGAACUCAACACUCUCAUUCCCAACCCUGUUUCAUGCCACCAUAUCCUUUUCCAAGUGAGCUCCUUUCUCUUUUUAUCAGCCUAAAUCGUCUAUCUCUUUCAGGCUUAAUCACCAGCUCACAAUGGUCUCUCCCUUCUGGAAUUCAUAUCAAUACAUGAAUUAUAUGCUGGACAAGAGUCACUCAUCUGCUCAAAACCCUUAAAAGCCUCCUUAUGUUCUGGCUGUGGAAUGAAGUCUAGACUCCUUUGUAUGACACACUGGCUCUUGGCUGAUCUGGACUCUGCCUGAUACUUCAGUCUCAACUGGCCUUGUGACUACCCUUGAUCUUUGCUGUUCAGACUUCAAGAACCGCUGUAGUGUCCCCAAAGCACAGUGGUCACUUUCACCUUAUCUUUAUCCUCUUCAUCUCCUUCUCUUUCUCUUGGCUUUACCCAUUAGGACUCAGCUCAGUCAUAAUGUCCUUCUUGGCCAUCGCUCCAAAGCUAUCAUAGCCCCCUGAGCAGAUCUCCAUCUCAGCAUCAUUUGGAGCAGCCUUUCUUACCUCCCUCUCUGCUGGCCAGAUGGGGAGCUCCUUACUGCAGAAAUAAGCCAUCUUUGUUAUCCCUGCUGUAAUAUUUCUUAAAUGAAUUAAUUAAUGAACAAACAGGAUGUAUCAGGAAACUUAGGAUUUACUUUCUUUCCAUUAUCCAUGUGAUCUUGGGCCUUUCUAAGCUUGUGUAUCAUUUUAUAGUCAAGUCUGUUUCAUACACACAAAUCUUUUGAUCUCUAUUUACCUGAGGGUCCCUGGCAGUAUCAAUAAUUAUACAGAUUGGAGCUGAAAACUGGACCUGGGACUAAGACACAAAUGAAGAAGUGGGGAUCAGCAGAUGAGCAGGACCAAGCUUGCCUCCUUCUCUCCAAGAUGGCACACCUUGCAUAGAAAAACAUCCACAUACUCAGGGUUGGUUUAGGAGCUCUGGGUAAAGGUCAGCAGAGAUACAGUUUUGGGUGAGAUACAGCACAUUUUAUACAGAUUAUUCUGUCCUAGCCCACAAGAAAGCUGUCAAUUAUAUUUUUAGAUUCCAAGAGCUCUUACUUAUUUGCUGAAAAUCCUUUUUUUCCCUACUUUUUCUCCCCAAAUUCCCCCAGUACAUAGUUGCAUAUCUUAGUUGUGGGUCCUUCUAGUUGUGGCAUGUGGGAUGCUGCCUCAGCGUGGCCUGAAGAGCGGUGCCAUGUCCACCCCCAGGAUCCAAAUCAGUGAAACCCUGGGCUGCCGAAGCUGACCGUGCGAACUUAACCACUUGGCCAUGGGGCUGGCCCCUGAAAAUCCUUUUUAUAAGCACUC
This 6768-nucleotide long non-coding RNA is filed under the name Equus caballus (horse). Its description in RNAcentral is "lncRNA (ENSECAG00000046014.1)". Lineage: Eukaryota; Metazoa; Chordata; Mammalia; Perissodactyla; Equidae. The record is from RNAcentral.